Long non-coding RNA from Cyprinus carpio carpio, 1457 nucleotides. The record is from Ensembl. Lineage: Eukaryota; Metazoa; Chordata; Actinopteri; Cypriniformes; Cyprinidae.
GUAUUGAUGCAUACUGUGCUUGGUAUUCCCUGUAAAAAUCCUGCCUUUGUUUUUCCAUAUGGCUUUGGCAUGUUAACAUCAUUGCACUAGAAUUGUUAGCCUGCAGCUAUGGGCAUUAGCAUAGCAGGAAAAUCCUGUCCAUGCAGGCCGGCUGCCAGUUGCCCGCAGACGCAUCUGUGUUCCAGGCAACUAGCGAUGUCUCCGAUGAAAUCUCUUUUGGAGAUGAAUCGUCUUAGAUAGGUGGUUGCUUGAGCGAAAAGUUGUUAGGAAAGUAGUACAAACUUUAGGAAAUGUAUUGUUGUUAAGGGCUUCAGGACAUUUGUACAGUAUGUGCUUUUGACAUAUGGACUUUUAGAUGCAUCGUGACUGGGAAAGAAAAGGUUCCUAUCAUCCUUACCCAUCUGUUGCCUCAGGAAACAGUCUCAUUUCUCUUUUUUUCUCAGCCGGAUUUGUGUGCAGACACAACGGAAAAAUACUGAGGCAAUGAAGUGUGUUUUCAGCAGGGCGCGCCAUCACUCAGACCAAUAAACACAAGCACCUGGGGGAUUGCAUCUAUCAAAACCUGAGAGGAGAAGAUGUUGACCGAGUUAAGACCUCUGACCGACAGAAGCAUCCGUGAGGCAACAUGCACACAUCCCACUGACUCUUUACAAGGAGAAAAGUGGAACUACAGCACAAAGAAUCGGGAGGUUUUGAAAAGGGACAAAAAUGUUGGAGAGGAAGUCAAAGAAAUGGAGAAAUGACGAGAGCCUUGGACGAACAAAAGCAAUUAGGAUGAUGGUGGGGGAGCCGUAGUGGCUCAACACUGAGAGAUGGAGAAACAUAUCAAUGAGCUGGCGGCCUUGACUGAGAUGAAAGACCCCCAGAGUGAAGGAGAGGCCCCCAAACAACAGGACUGGAGUGUGUGUACGGGGGGUGUUUCUGUAUCCCACAUUGGCUGUAAACCUCUUAUGAUUAUCCCCCUCCCCCUGAAAUUGUAUAGCUGGGAUGGCAUCCAUCACGUUGCUAUGGCAACAUAGAGUGGCCUGAUGAGGGGAUUGAAACAGCAUUUGAGAGUCACAGAGCAGACUGACAGAUCUGAGACAGACAGAUAUCUUAUUUUUUUGAUUUGCACAAAUAAAUAUGACUAGAAGACUCUAUUAAGAGUCAAUUUCCUAGCUUUGUUUUAUAUGUGGUUCAUUUUUUAAUGAAUUGAUUCAUUCAUAAUGGUUUAUUUCUGAACUGAAUGUGUAGAUGAUCUGUGUGCUGAAAUGCAUGUUAGCGGACAGCUGUGAGCGAGAUGCUUCUGGUCUCCCAGAGUAAGGUGGACAGUUGACAUGUGACCCCUGUGGGAACAGGGUCAAAGGUCAACAGGGUCACAGAGGGUCAAGCUACAAGUAAUUAUCUGACCAAGCUAAAGCACUACACUGAUUACAAUGACAGAUUCACUAUCUAUCUCUCUAUCUAUUCAAUUCAAG